UACGUAGGGUGCGAGCGUUGUCCGGAAUUAUUGGGCGUAAAGAGCUCGUAGGUGGUUUGUCGCGUUGUUCGUGAAAACUCACAGCUCAACUGUGGGCGUGCGGGCGAUACGGGCAGACUUGAGUACUGCAGGGGAGACUGGAAUUCCUGGUGUAGCGGUGAAAUGCGCAGAUAUCAGGAGGAACACCGGUGGCGAAGGCGGGUCUCUGGGCAGUAACUGACGCUGAGGAACGAAAGCGUGGGUAGCAAACAGG
This 253-nucleotide ribosomal RNA is filed under the name uncultured bacterium. Its description in RNAcentral is "partial 16S ribosomal RNA". It matches the Rfam family "Bacterial small subunit ribosomal RNA", at positions 524 to 776 of the family's 1533-position model. The record is from RNAcentral.